Molecule: long non-coding RNA, 802 nt
Organism: Capsicum annuum
Lineage: Eukaryota; Viridiplantae; Streptophyta; Magnoliopsida; Solanales; Solanaceae
Exons: 2
Source: RefSeq, a predicted model, not a curated record
UAUAUCUGAGCAUCUAAUGCACCACUUUCAAAUACAGUCAUUUCUUUUUCCCAUGUCCAAAUAUUCGAAAUAGAGCUAUAAUACUUGAGCUGUUUGAUACAGCAGGACAAACAGAAGCAACAAAAUCGAAGUAAAAAUCAGAGAAGAACAAUGCCAGUCAACUUUGCUUUGGAUAAGCCUCAUCGGGGCGCCAUUAAGAAAGCUAUUAUGCUGACGCUUUGUGAGGGUAACAAAGAGGUGGCAUUGCAAGUGAGCCAGAAACAAGGACGGAGAGGAAGAGUGAAGGAGCAAGGACGUAUUGGUGCUCAACUGCAAGUCAGCUGCAAACAAGGGGUGAGAAGAAAGAUAGACAAAGGAUGGAUAUUACAUUGGUACAGCCAAAAUAGCCACUGCUAAUUUUUCUACUUACUUAAAAUAUGAUCACAAAGACGACAGCAACAAGUACCCAGUAAAAUCCCACAAGUAAAACAUGAUCACAAAGACAAUGUGCAAAAUGGGGGGACUAUGACAUGUAGAUGGAAGCUUUACUAAGCAGACCAUGGACCACUAUGCAUUAGUGCCUGGUUUCUCUGUAAAUAAAUUUAUGAGUGAUGUAAAAUCGGAACUUGCUCAUAAGUUUGUAUUCCCUCCUGCACUUUCAAAGUCCAAAUUACCCCAUUGACGUGUAACUUCUGUUGUUUACCAAAUGAUACAUGCGCCUCUCAAACAAGUCAAGAUCACAUCCCCUACAAGUAUAGUAUUCUUUCAUGUAAUGAGCAAACUGAAUUGGCAGCAAAGACAUAAUUGUUGAAGUAUUGAGUUA